This 65-nucleotide transfer RNA is filed under the name Erythrobacter sp. RNAcentral describes it as "tRNA-Leu". The record is from RNAcentral. Lineage: Bacteria; Pseudomonadati; Pseudomonadota; Alphaproteobacteria; Sphingomonadales; Erythrobacteraceae.
CGGCGAAUGCCGGGAAGGACUACACUCAGGAUGCAGGUGUCGCGGGUUCGAAUCCCGCCUGCCGG